Molecule: ribosomal RNA, 395 nt
Filed under: uncultured bacterium
Lineage: Bacteria
Description: bacterial SSU rRNA
Rfam family: Bacterial small subunit ribosomal RNA
Source: RNAcentral
AUUGAACGCUGGCGGCAUGCCUUACACAUGCAAGUCGAACGGCAGCACGGGGCAACCUGGUGGCGAGUGGCGAACGGGUGAGUAAUGCAUCGGAACGUGCCAUUGAGUGGGGGAUAACGUAGCGAAAGUUGCGCUAAUACCGCAUAUUCUGUGAGCAGGAAAGCAGGGGACCGCAAGGCCUUGCGCUCUUUGAGCGGCCGAUGUCAGAUUAGCUAGUUGGUGAGGUAACGGCUUACCAAGGCGACGAUCGUGUAGGCGGGUCUGAGAGGAUGAUCCGCCACACUGGAACUGAGACACGGUCCAGACUCCUACGGGAGGCAGCAGUGGGGAAUUUUGGACAAUGGGCGCAAGCCUGAUCCAGCCAUGCCGCGUGAGUGAAGAAGGCCUGGUGUAAG